Molecule: long non-coding RNA, 511 nt
Organism: Callorhinchus milii (elephant shark)
Lineage: Eukaryota; Metazoa; Chordata; Chondrichthyes; Chimaeriformes; Callorhinchidae
Exons: 5
Source: RefSeq, a predicted model, not a curated record
CAAAGGACCGCUCAGUCUUUCAACGGCGGGAACCCGGAGAAGAAGGUCUGAGAGUGAAAUGAUCUGUCUGGAGGCUCCUGAGAAUUGGACCAGAAGAAUAUGCUGGCCCCCUCAGCAAUGUCUCGGACAAAUUCCUUGCUGAUGCUGAAGUAACCCUGGGUUCUGCCUGGCUGAUGAACUGAAAGCCAGGAAGAAAGGUCAAUGGCAGCUUCCUUGGGACUGUGGGUCGAGAGAUUGUUUUUGUCCUGAACUUGUCGAAGGAGCAAUAGGACUACAGACGAAAGCAAUCGUUUCUGAGAUCGUAUGGGACCUCUUCGAGCUUGCAAGAUCUUCGAACGAGAUUUCAAGAUCUAUGGCUCGUCUUAGCAACUUCAGCCCACGAACAAAGCGGUCCAAUGUUGCCAGAUGGACCAUCAGCUACUUGUUGAAAUUUUAAAUUGGUUUUGAAGCUCCGCAUACAGUUAAGAACCUGCGUAUGAGCCGGUUUGAAAUAAAAGUCAAAUCGAAGUAA